GACGUUACCGACAGAAUAAGCACCGGCUAACUCUGUGCCAGCAGCCGCGGUAAUACAGAGUGACGUUACCGACAGAAUAAGCACCGGCUAACUCUGUGCCAGCAGCCGCGGUAAUACAGAGGGUGCAAGCGUUAAUCGGAAUUACUGGGCGUAAAGCGCGCGUAGGUGGUUUGUUAAGUUGAAUGUGAAAUCCCCGGGCUCAACCUGGGAACUGCAUCCAAAACUGGNAAGCUAGAGUAUGGNAGANGGUGGUGGAAUUUCCUGUGUAGCGGUGAAAUGCGUANAUNUAGGAAGGAACACCAGUGGNGAAAGCNACCACCUGGACUGAUACUGACACUGAGGUGCGAAAGCNUGGGGAGCAAACNNGAUUACAUACCCUGGUAGUCCACNCCNUANACGAUGUCAACUAGCCCUUGGGAGCCUUGANCUCUNAUUGNCGCACCUAACACAUUANGUUGAC
This 460-nucleotide ribosomal RNA is filed under the name Pseudomonas sp. SnB11. RNAcentral describes it as "partial 16S ribosomal RNA". It matches the Rfam family "Bacterial small subunit ribosomal RNA", at positions 393 to 869 of the family's 1533-position model. Lineage: Bacteria; Pseudomonadati; Pseudomonadota; Gammaproteobacteria; Pseudomonadales; Pseudomonadaceae. The record is from RNAcentral.